GGAUCACCUCCUUAAUCGACGACAUCAGCCUGCUGAUGAGCUCCCACACGAAUUGCUUGAUUCAUUGUGUAAAGACGAUGCURURACGYAUCSCUGUMUAUGUCUGUAG
This 109-nucleotide unclassified non-coding RNA is filed under the name Pseudomonas sp. OB3FA. RNAcentral's name for it is "partial 16S-23S ribosomal RNA intergenic spacer". The record is from RNAcentral. Lineage: Bacteria; Pseudomonadati; Pseudomonadota; Gammaproteobacteria; Pseudomonadales; Pseudomonadaceae.